AUCCAGAAAUUCCAGAAACACGAAGAAUUAAACAAAGAUUUCGUCAUUCUAUUCAGAGUUUGGAUUAUGUUGCUACAUCAGCGAGGCCAGCAAUAUCAUUAGAAGAC
This is a long non-coding RNA of Morus notabilis, 107 nucleotides long. RefSeq lists it as uncharacterized. The transcript is spliced from 2 exons. The record is from RefSeq and is a predicted model, not a curated record. NCBI's taxonomy places the organism in Eukaryota, Viridiplantae, Streptophyta, Magnoliopsida, Rosales, Moraceae.